GAUGAAGAACGUAGUAAAAUGCGAUAAGUAAUGUGAAUUGCAGAAUUCAGUGAAUCAUCGAAUCUUUGAACGCACAUUGCGCCCGCCAGUAUUCUGGCGGGCAUGCCUGUUCGAGCGUCAUUUCAACCCUCAAGCACAGCUUGGUGUUGGGACUCGCGUUAAUUCGCGUUCCCCAAAUUGAUUGGCGGUCACGUCGAGCUUCCAUAGCGUAGUAGUAAAACCCUCGUUACUGGUAAUCGUCGCGGCCACGCCGUUAAACCCCAACUUCUGAAUGUUGACCUCGGAUCAGGUAGGAAUACCCGCUGAACUUAAGCAUAUCAAUAAGCGGGGA
This 331-nucleotide unclassified non-coding RNA is filed under the name soil metagenome. Its description in RNAcentral is "partial contains 5.8S ribosomal RNA, internal transcribed spacer 2, and large subunit ribosomal RNA". The stretch from base 1 to 120 matches the Rfam family "5.8S ribosomal RNA", at positions 35 to 154 of the family's 154-position model. The record is from RNAcentral.